Molecule: long non-coding RNA, 3562 nt
Organism: Lynx canadensis (Canada lynx)
Lineage: Eukaryota; Metazoa; Chordata; Mammalia; Carnivora; Felidae
Exons: 2
Source: RefSeq, a predicted model, not a curated record
CACUUUGAAUCUGCAUUUCAUCGUAGCGUUGUGGUCUGACAUGGGCUCUGGAGCCAGAGGAUUUGGGUGAGAAUCUGGCUCCUUCCGUACUAGCUGUUGGAAUGUAUACGUGCCACAUAACCUCUCUGUGCUUCAAUGUCCUCAUCUGUAAAAUAGAGAUUAUACUUUGCAGGAUUUCUUAGCGGUUUAAAGACGUUAAAACGGGUGCAUGCUUAGAAUGGUGCAUGACACAUGGGAGUGUUCAAUAGUCGUGGCCAUUACUCCUAAGAUCUCACCGCUCACAGAGGGAGAUGGCAGUCAUUCAGGCCAUAGGGGGAACAGGAGGUUCAUUUGUAGGAUGAGAAAGUAGGGCAAUUAAAAGAAUAUGUGCUUGGGUUUAGGAGAGGAGAAGGUCCUGGCAACUUGGUUCUUCCCUUACAGCCACUGAGCCCCGACUCCAUUCCAUUCAUCAAGGAUACAAGAGAAUCUGCCACUCACACAUCAUGUAAGGGUGAUGGGAAAACAGAGAUCCUUGAGGCAUGGAAUCCACAGUGUGCUUCAGGAGGUGAAACAAAUAGAGAAAAACAAAGAGUCUUAGAGCAUGAAAAACACCACCAAAACUUAAGAAGACUCAUUAAGUUGUGGGUAGGAAGGUCAGAAAAGACUUGUGUGUUUUGGAGGAGAAGGUGUUACAGGUGUCAGGAACAGUAUGGAUCAGAGCAGGGAGGCAGGAAAGCUUCGCCUUUAUGUGAGAACAGGGCAGGGUCUAAUCUGGUUGGGGCAAACUAGGAUAAGAAGGGUUGCUUUGGGCUACCAAUGGAGAGAGGAAAUGAAAAACGAAGGUGAGACUUGGCACGUUGUCGACAGGCAACAGAGGGUCACUAAAGGUACCUAAAUGGGGAUAUUGGAGGUCAAAUCUUGUUAUAUUUUAAAGCUAAGAGAAUCUAGUGGGUAAGGAAGACAGAGGAGUCCAAGAUUACAACAUAUUUUUCUACCUGGGUGACUGAGGACAUGGUGAUAUUUGCCAGAAAUAGGCAAGUCAGAAAAAAGGACUGGUUCAGUAACAGAAAUUGCUCUGCCGGGACAGUUUUGGUGGCAAAUGUCAGUGAGUCAUCCCAGUGGCAGUGACCUGCCAGCUGUUGGAAAUGGAGGCACCAAAGAGAGAGGCUGAGGACAGGGAUAUGCAUUAGGAGCUAGCUCCAAAGACAGUCAUAGAAUGGGAAUGUAUCAUGGCACAGGAGGGGACUGAGGGAGAAGGGAAGAGGGCUAAGGCUAGACCUUGGCAACAGAACACUGAUGGGAAAGACAGAAGAAAUGGAGCCUGAGGAAGGCUAAAGAGGAAUAAUUACUAAUGAGGAGAAGCAAGGCAGUUCCGUGUCAUGGAAACCACCAAAAAUGGAGACGUCAAGAGGGUAAGACCCAAGAAAAGCCAGUGACCUCGGAGAGGCGUCCGCAUAUAAUUCUGGGAUGAUGCCAUAUUGCUGGGUCCAAAUAAUUUUUGAAUUAUAUGGAAAAAAACCCCAGACUGUGUGAGGACCACAUGUUUAAGACUAAGGGAAAAUAAGGAGUGAGAGAGUAAGGUAGUGCAAGGAGGAGGUGGCUCAAAGGGUUAUGGGAAACCCGAGGUGCUUUGUAGAAUGAAGGGAAAGACGUGACGUGAGCUCACUCAGUCCUGCCUACCUUCCUAAUGCAGGAAACUAAGAUCAGAAAAGAGAACAAGAGAAGGAGGCUGGAUGGUUUGCCGGAUACCAGAAUAUGAAGAAAUUGAUGUGAGUGGCAGAAACGGGGAGUGGGAGAAGGCAUAUAUAAACUCAUCACUGAGAAAAGAAAGAUUAAUUACAAAGUAGAAUCAGUUGAUUAUGAACUGAAUACUGAACCAGUUAAGAUAGCUUAACAGAAAAUAUUUAUUCUUAAGGCACGCAACUUAGACGAAAUUAAAUAUAUUUAAAAUGCUGGGGAGGCAAAGGGGAAGCAGGUCAUAUUUCUCCAACCCAGUCCUUGAUCAGUGCUGUGACUUUCUGGGAGUUCCUAACCCCUCUCCGUCUCAGAGUCUCACCUGCAUAGUAGGGAUGGUAACACUUCCCAAGGUUGUUGCAUUGUCCUAAGGACUGGAUGAGACAUUCAGGAACCUGAAUGCAUGAGAGCUGUUAUCCCAGCGUUUUCCACGUUGUAAGCAGGUGCUCAGUAAAUACUGGUUAUCAUUGCUAUAAGCUUUUCUUGGCUGUGUGUUAGUGCAGUCUCGGGGGGGAGUCGUUUGGCAACUGGGGCCCCGGGAUUUAGCUGGACAAAUGCUAACACUUGCCCUGGAUAGAUAAGUGCGGCUAAUAUAAAAACGAAUGAUUGUAUGUGACUUCACAAAAGAGAAAAGGGAAGAGAAGGGGGAGACUAGAGAAAUAAUAGUGUGUGUGUGUGUGUGUGUGUGUGUGUGUGUGUGUAUGGUACAACUAGGGAAAGACCGCACUCGAUGACUGGUAGAAAUGGACGCCACUGAGCCACUGCACAGCUGGCUUCAGUACCGGAAACCCAACCAAGUUGUGGCUUCCCAGUUUGCGCUUGUGAAUAUUGGUGCCCCUUUUCAACUCCCCAGGCAAGGCUGCAAACAUACAGUCUAGAGUCUCUCUCAUUUCGACUUUGUAGCAAUGCCCUUCUAAUCAAUGCCUACCGAUUCUCCUCCUGCCUGCCCCCUACCUCAAGAAAUGAGAGGACUACUGAGAGCAUCAGCCCCAAAGAUUUGGUGUUCGGCUCAAAUUCAUGAUCUACCUUCUCCAAGUGUCAGCUUUCUCCUCUCUGAUGAUGACCUACUAUGCACCAUUUUGACUGUCUAUGGACUUACAGAACUUACCUCUCCAAGCAGGUGCUCUUCUGGGGUAUGGUGAUCAAGUAUGCAUUGAUCUCACCCAGAACCUUCCCUCUUUUGCAUCAUGUUUUUUCCAGUCCAAGGACGCCUUCACCCUGCCUCAUGAGGCAGCUUCUCUUUGGCACCACUCCUCCCUUCAGCCACGAUGUCGGAGUUCCUGAGCCCUGCCUCGUGUGCAUGAGAGUGCGUGGGGGUGGAAAUGCAAUCUCAUUGAAAAAUUAACUGAAACAGCCGCUGGCAAGCUCCGCUACAAAGUAACUUCAUGCAUCUCAGUCUUCAAAAUGAUUUUUGGACAAUCUUUUGUUUAUCUCCAGCAUUGCUCUUCUCCAUUAGCAGAAAGAUACACACGCAUUAGCUUGUGUGUAUCUACAGGGACGUCUCCCUCUCUCUCCCCCUACUCUUUCCACCCUCCCCACCCCCAAAAGCUGACGUGUUAAUUAGUGGGGAUAGUGCAUUGUUCAAACUGUCACAAUGUGUGAAGAAGCCAGACUGAAGAUGAGGUAGGCCAUCAGCAUGAAUUCCGUUCUCCAGGAGAGAUGGGAAAUUCUUGCGUGCCAGAGAGAGUAAUCACUUUAUUUCAGUCUCAGCUGCAUACCGGGUUUCGUCGGCUACUGUAAGGUUGAGUAAUCCCAGAUUGCUGGGGCUGCUCUCCCAUGCAUUAAAUGAGAGAAUAUGCAAAUGCUAGGUAACCUGUAAGUGCUGAAUAAAGGUUAUCCUUUUAUCCUA